RNAcentral lists this ribosomal RNA (2902 nucleotides) under Escherichia coli UMEA 3065-1. RNAcentral describes it as "bacterial LSU rRNA". It matches the Rfam family "Bacterial large subunit ribosomal RNA". Lineage: Bacteria; Pseudomonadati; Pseudomonadota; Gammaproteobacteria; Enterobacterales; Enterobacteriaceae. The record is from RNAcentral.
UUAAGCGACUAAGCGUACACGGUGGAUGCCCUGGCAGUCAGAGGCGAUGAAGGACGUGCUAAUCUGCGAUAAGCGUCGGUAAGGUGAUAUGAACCGUUAUAACCGGCGAUUUCCGAAUGGGGAAACCCAGUGUGAUUCGUCACACUAUCAUUAACUGAAUCCAUAGGUUAAUGAGGCGAACCGGGGGAACUGAAACAUCUAAGUACCCCGAGGAAAAGAAAUCAACCGAGAUUCCCCCAGUAGCGGCGAGCGAACGGGGAGCAGCCCAGAGCCUGAAUCAGUGUGUGUGUUAGUGGAAGCGUCUGGAAAGGCGCGCGAUACAGGGUGACAGCCCCGUACACAAAAAUGCACAUGCUGUGAGCUCGAUGAGUAGGGCGGGACACGUGGUAUCCUGUCUGAAUAUGGGGGGACCAUCCUCCAAGGCUAAAUACUCCUGACUGACCGAUAGUGAACCAGUACCGUGAGGGAAAGGCGAAAAGAACCCCGGCGAGGGGAGUGAAAAAGAACCUGAAACCGUGUACGUACAAGCAGUGGGAGCACGCUUAGGCGUGUGACUGCGUACCUUUUGUAUAAUGGGUCAGCGACUUAUAUUCUGUAGCAAGGUUAACCGAAUAGGGGAGCCGAAGGGAAACCGAGUCUUAACUGGGCGUUAAGUUGCAGGGUAUAGACCCGAAACCCGGUGAUCUAGCCAUGGGCAGGUUGAAGGUUGGGUAACACUAACUGGAGGACCGAACCGACUAAUGUUGAAAAAUUAGCGGAUGACUUGUGGCUGGGGGUGAAAGGCCAAUCAAACCGGGAGAUAGCUGGUUCUCCCCGAAAGCUAUUUAGGUAGCGCCUCGUGAAUUCAUCUCCGGGGGUAGAGCACUGUUUCGGCAAGGGGGUCAUCCCGACUUACCAACCCGAUGCAAACUGCGAAUACCGGAGAAUGUUAUCACGGGAGACACACGGCGGGUGCUAACGUCCGUCGUGAAGAGGGAAACAACCCAGACCGCCAGCUAAGGUCCCAAAGUCAUGGUUAAGUGGGAAACGAUGUGGGAAGGCCCAGACAGCCAGGAUGUUGGCUUAGAAGCAGCCAUCAUUUAAAGAAAGCGUAAUAGCUCACUGGUCGAGUCGGCCUGCGCGGAAGAUGUAACGGGGCUAAACCAUGCACCGAAGCUGCGGCAGCGACGCUUAUGCGUUGUUGGGUAGGGGAGCGUUCUGUAAGCCUGUGAAGGUGUACUGUGAGGUAUGCUGGAGGUAUCAGAAGUGCGAAUGCUGACAUAAGUAACGAUAAAGCGGGUGAAAAGCCCGCUCGCCGGAAGACCAAGGGUUCCUGUCCAACGUUAAUCGGGGCAGGGUGAGUCGACCCCUAAGGCGAGGCCGAAAGGCGUAGUCGAUGGGAAACAGGUUAAUAUUCCUGUACUUGGUGUUACUGCGAAGGGGGGACGGAGAAGGCUAUGUUGGCCGGGCGACGGUUGUCCCGGUUUAAGCGUGUAGGCUGGUUUUCCAGGCAAAUCCGGAAAAUCAAGGCUGAGGCGUGAUGACGAGGCACUACGGUGCUGAAGCAACAAAUGCCCUGCUUCCAGGAAAAGCCUCUAAGCAUCAGGUAACAUCAAAUCGUACCCCAAACCGACACAGGUGGUCAGGUAGAGAAUACCAAGGCGCUUGAGAGAACUCGGGUGAAGGAACUAGGCAAAAUGGUGCCGUAACUUCGGGAGAAGGCACGCUGAUACGUAGGUGAAGUCCCUCGCGGAUGGAGCUGAAAUCAGUCGAAGAUACCAGCUGGCUGCAACUGUUUAUUAAAAACACAGCACUGUGCAAACACGAAAGUGGACGUAUACGGUGUGACGCCUGCCCGGUGCCGGAAGGUUAAUUGAUGGGGUCAGCGCAAGCGAAGCUCUUGAUCGAAGCCCCGGUAAACGGCGGCCGUAACUAUAACGGUCCUAAGGUAGCGAAAUUCCUUGUCGGGUAAGUUCCGACCUGCACGAAUGGCGUAAUGAUGGCCAGGCUGUCUCCACCCGAGACUCAGUGAAAUUGAACUCGCUGUGAAGAUGCAGUGUACCCGCGGCAAGACGGAAAGACCCCGUGAACCUUUACUAUAGCUUGACACUGAACAUUGAGCCUUGAUGUGUAGGAUAGGUGGGAGGCUUUGAAGUGUGGACGCCAGUCUGCAUGGAGCCGACCUUGAAAUACCACCCUUUAAUGUUUGAUGUUCUAACGUUGACCCGUAAUCCGGGUUGCGGACAGUGUCUGGUGGGUAGUUUGACUGGGGCGGUCUCCUCCUAAAGAGUAACGGAGGAGCACGAAGGUUGGCUAAUCCUGGUCGGACAUCAGGAGGUUAGUGCAAUGGCAUAAGCCAGCUUGACUGCGAGCGUGACGGCGCGAGCAGGUGCGAAAGCAGGUCAUAGUGAUCCGGUGGUUCUGAAUGGAAGGGCCAUCGCUCAACGGAUAAAAGGUACUCCGGGGAUAACAGGCUGAUACCGCCCAAGAGUUCAUAUCGACGGCGGUGUUUGGCACCUCGAUGUCGGCUCAUCACAUCCUGGGGCUGAAGUAGGUCCCAAGGGUAUGGCUGUUCGCCAUUUAAAGUGGUACGCGAGCUGGGUUUAGAACGUCGUGAGACAGUUCGGUCCCUAUCUGCCGUGGGCGCUGGAGAACUGAGGGGGGCUGCUCCUAGUACGAGAGGACCGGAGUGGACGCAUCACUGGUGUUCGGGUUGUCAUGCCAAUGGCACUGCCCGGUAGCUAAAUGCGGAAGAGAUAAGUGCUGAAAGCAUCUAAGCACGAAACUUGCCCCGAGAUGAGUUCUCCCUGACUCCUUGAGAGUCCUGAAGGAACGUUGAAGACGACGACGUUGAUAGGCCGGGUGUGUAAGCGCAGCGAUGCGUUGAGCUAACCGGUACUAAUGAACCGUGAGGCUUAACCUU